CGACACAGGUGGUCGGGUAGAGAAUACCAAGGCGCUUGAGAGAACUCGGGUGAAGGAACUAGGCAAAAUGGUACCGUAACUUCGGGAGAAGGUACGCUCUCGACGGUGAAGUCCCUCGCGGAUGGAGCUGACGAGAGUCGCAGAUACCAGGUGGCUGCAACUGUUUAUUAAAAACACAGCACUGUGCAAAAUCGUAAGAUGACGUAUACGGUGUGACGCCUGCCCGGUGCC
RNAcentral lists this ribosomal RNA (231 nucleotides) under Vibrio parahaemolyticus. RNAcentral describes it as "partial 23S ribosomal RNA". It matches the Rfam family "Bacterial large subunit ribosomal RNA", at positions 1655 to 1870 of the family's 2925-position model. Lineage: Bacteria; Pseudomonadati; Pseudomonadota; Gammaproteobacteria; Vibrionales; Vibrionaceae. The record is from RNAcentral.